Ostrea edulis (European flat oyster) is the source of this 506-nucleotide long non-coding RNA. RefSeq lists it as uncharacterized. The record is from RefSeq and is a predicted model, not a curated record. Lineage: Eukaryota; Metazoa; Mollusca; Bivalvia; Ostreida; Ostreidae. The transcript is spliced from 2 exons.
AGCUAUACUGAAUGGAAAGCUGUGGCUGUUACUUUCAAUAUCGAUCUUACUGUGUCAUCCCAGGACAUUUCAUCAACGCCAGUCUCAAACAUUGUUUCAAACUCCAAGUUAACCCGCUCCUGAAAAUAACAAUAUUUCAGCAUAUUUCAGUCAGAACAUUUAUUCUUUGUUCUACGUACUGUGAUGAGGCCAGCUAACAUCAAUUUGUUGACGUACACCACUGCAGUGUGACAGAAGUAGAAGAUCAGUGGCAGUCGCAGUCGGUCCGGGCAUUUGUAAAAUACGGACUCGUCUAAAACAAAAAAUCAGUAAGCCGAUGAUCUAAUAGUAAAAUAAUUAAUGUAUAACAUGUUUUCAGAUGUUGAAAUAUGGAUUGUAUUGAAAUCUGAACUAAACAACAUUUAGCCUUAGUCCUUAUUUAGAAAUCUAGCAAUGUGAAAGUAUUUGAAAAUAAUUUGACUAUAAAACUAAGUGUCUAUAUAUGUUAUAAACUUAAUACUACAAAA